GACGAACGCUGGCGGCGUGCUUAACACAUGCAAGUCGAACGGAAAGGCGCUGCUUUUGUGGGGUGCUCGAGUGGCGAACGGGUGAGUAACACGUGAGUAACCUGCCCUUGACUUUGGGAUAACUUCAGGAAACUGGGGCUAAUACCGGAUAGGAGCUCCUGCUGCAUGGUGGGGGUUGGAAAGUUUCGGCGGUUGGGGAUGGACUCGCGGCUUAUCAGCUUGUUGGUGGGGUAGUGGCUUACCAAGGCUUUGACGGGUAGCCGGCCUGAGAGGGUGACCGGCCACAUGGGGACUGAGAUACGGCCCAGACUCCUACGGGAGGCAGCAGUGGGGAAUAUUGCACAAUGAGCGGAAGCCUGAUGCAGCAACGCCGCGUGCGGGAUGACGGCCUUCGGGUUGUAAACCGCUUUCGCCUGUGACGAAGCGUGAGUGACGGUAAUGGGUAAAGAAGCACCGGCUAACUACGUG
RNAcentral lists this ribosomal RNA (468 nucleotides) under uncultured bacterium. Its description in RNAcentral is "partial 16S ribosomal RNA". It matches the Rfam family "Bacterial small subunit ribosomal RNA", at positions 28 to 507 of the family's 1533-position model. The record is from RNAcentral.